Molecule: ribosomal RNA, 814 nt
Filed under: uncultured bacterium
Lineage: Bacteria
Description: bacterial SSU rRNA
Rfam family: Bacterial small subunit ribosomal RNA
Source: RNAcentral
ACACAUGCAAGUCGAACGAGCGAGAGAGAGCUUGCUUUCUCGAGCGAGUGGCGAACGGGUGAGUAACGCGUGAGGAACCUGCCUCAAAGAGGGGGACAACAGUUGGAAACGACUGCUAAUACCGCAUAAGCCCACAGGUCGGCAUCGACCAGGGGGAAAAGGAGCAAUCCGCUUUGAGAUGGCCUCGCGUCCGAUUAGCUAGUUGGUGAGGUAAUGGCCCACCAAGGCAACGAUCGGUAGCCGGACUGAGAGGUUGAACGGCCACAUUGGGACUGAGACACGGCCCAGACUCCUACGGGAGGCAGCAGUGGGGAAUAUUGCACAAUGGGGGAAACCCUGAUGCAGCGACGCCGCGUGGAGGAAGAAGGUCUUCGGAUUGUAAACUCCUGUUGUUGAGGAAGAUAAUGACGGUACUCAACAAGGAAGUGACGGCUAACUACGUGCCAGCAGCCGCGGUAAAACGUAGGUCACAAGCGUUGUCCGGAAUUACUGGGUGUAAAGGGAGCGCAGGCGGGAAGACAAGUUGGAAGUGAAAUCUAUGGGCUCAACCCAUAAACUGCUUUCAAAACUGUUUUUCUUGAGUAGUGCAGAGGUAGGCGGAAUUCCCGGUGUAGCGGUGGAAUGCGUAGAUAUCGGGAGGAACACCAGUGGCGAAGGCGGCCUACUGGGCACCAACUGACGCUGAGGCUCGAAAGUGUGGGUAGCAAACAGGAUUAGAUACCCUGGUAGUCCACACCGUAAACGAUGAUUACUAGGUGUUGGAGGAUUGACCCCUUCAGUGCCGCAGUUAACACAAUAAGUAAUCCACCUGGGG